Non-coding RNA from Aedes albopictus (Asian tiger mosquito), 73 nucleotides. Lineage: Eukaryota; Metazoa; Arthropoda; Insecta; Diptera; Culicidae. The record is from Rfam.
CUCCAGUUAGCCUAGUGGUUAAGGUUGUGGACCGCCAAUCCGGAGACAGCGGGUUAGAUUCCCGUAUCGGUCG